GUUAAUGUAAUUCUUAGAGAUGUUAUAAUGCCCUUAAGAAUUCGGUUCACUGGUUGGUUGCCUUCUAUGUUGUUUCAGUGCCAAUCACAAUUGAAAACCCUUUAUGCUGAAGGAAUUGAGGGAUGUCAUAUGGAGUUGUCUGCUUACAACUUACUCUCUGUAAUUUUGCACUCUAAUAAUUACAGAGAUCUCCUAUCAUCGAUGUCAAGAUAUCCCCAUUACUACUGGAAAGAUCCCAGAGCAUAUGAAAUGUCCCGAGUGUCCACGAGUCAUGGAGGCCUAUAUUAGUUUCAAGUGUUGCCACAUUGACGGUGCUAUGAAUGGACUGCAUUAGAUCCCUACUUCUCUGUCUGCUAGCUUGUAUUGCUACUAAAUAAUGUUAUUAUGUUUAAGACUUUUCUUUUUAUGCUAAUAUAGUGUUUAAGAUUUUUUUUGGUUUGUAACCAGUGCCACUAGUAUGAGGGUGGGUGUGUGUUUGAGACUUGAGUAAUGCUUCAAAAAAAGACAUCUUGAUUAA
Molecule: long non-coding RNA, 517 nt
Organism: Quercus lobata
Lineage: Eukaryota; Viridiplantae; Streptophyta; Magnoliopsida; Fagales; Fagaceae
Exons: 2
Source: RefSeq, a predicted model, not a curated record